AUCCGAAAACGGCGAAGCCAUUUCCGAAACACCAGCCAAACCCUUCUCUAAACUCACUCGCUCUCUCUCUCUCUCCGACCCUGCGAGACCCGAGCGACCCCUCACUCUGCGACCAUGUUGCGCCGCGCCACAGCCCUCUUGACCCGACCUGUGAUCUCCCUCCGGGCCCGACCCUUCUCCACGGAUGUCUCAGAAAUUCCAGUAGCCGACACGUCGUUUUAUGAUGCUUGGAAGAAAGUGAUCCCAACCUUAGAGCCACCCCACACCCCAUUGACCUUCAUGAAGCCUCGGCCUCCAACUCCAUCUUCGAUCCCUACUAAGC
This 322-nucleotide long non-coding RNA is filed under the name Prunus persica (peach). RNAcentral describes it as "long non-coding RNA (PPER_LNC002606)". Lineage: Eukaryota; Viridiplantae; Streptophyta; Magnoliopsida; Rosales; Rosaceae. The record is from RNAcentral.